AUGGACGACGACGGCAGCUUGAGCAUUCGGAAUUGGGGCUUCUAUGAGACGAUGAAAGGCAACCUCGGCCUGCAGCUGAUGCCAUCUGUGGCCGGCGGCCACCGGGACACAAAGCCGCUGCUCCCCAACGGCACCUUCUUGCAGCACCACAACGCCCCGCACCACCCGCCGCAUUCACAUCAUCCCCGCGACUAUGGUAACGGCGAACCCUCUGGUGGCAUGCCCACCGAGCCGCCGGCUAUUCACAUGGACUUUGUGCGCAACGAGGCCUGGAUGCACCCCUCGCAGCAUCAGCAUCAGCACCAGCACCACCACCAGAACCAACAUCAACAGCAGCAUCAGCAUCAGCAUCAACAUUCCCGUGAGCAGAAGGUCCUUCAUGCUGUUCCUCUUGGGCCUCCUGGACAUAUUGGACAUCCUGGACAUGCUGUGCAUCACCACCCUACAGAUUUUGGGAUGAUGCCAGAUGCGCGUGGUGCGCACACUCUCCAGAUGAUGCAGCCACAGGAGCCUCCUGUGCCUGAGGAGGAAAAAAUUGCCCCACCGUUGGUUGAAGAGCAUUCUGUGGUCGGAAGCAAGCCUCUGGUAAAGAAGAGGCAGCAAGGUCGUCAGCCUAAGUUGCCGAAGCCGAAGAAACCUAAGAAGGUUGCUACUCCAGGCGAAGAUGGGGCACCCAAGGCCCGUGCACCCCGAAGCAGGGGUCCUCUUAAGCCUGUGGAAAUGGUAAUUAAUGGUAUUGAUUUUGACAUUUCAAGGAUACCAACACCUGUGUGCUCAUGCACUGGAGCUCCCCAGCAAUGCUACCGGUGGGGUGCAGGUGGCUGGCAGUCUGCAUGCUGCACAACUUCUAUUUCGACAUAUCCGCUGCCAAUGAACACAAAGCGCCGGGGCGCACGUAUUGCUGGAAGGAAGAUGAGCCAAGGUGCAUUCAAAAAGGUUCUUGAGAAGCUAGCUGGUGAAGGGUACAACCUUAAUAAUCCAAUUGACUUGAAGACCUUCUGGGCCAAACAUGGCACAAACAAGUUUGUAACAAUCAGGUAA
This 1041-nucleotide ribosomal RNA is filed under the name Triticum aestivum (bread wheat). RNAcentral's name for it is "partial small subunit ribosomal RNA". Lineage: Eukaryota; Viridiplantae; Streptophyta; Magnoliopsida; Poales; Poaceae. The record is from RNAcentral.